This 21-nucleotide non-coding RNA is filed under the name Arabidopsis thaliana (thale cress). The record is from RNAcentral. Lineage: Eukaryota; Viridiplantae; Streptophyta; Magnoliopsida; Brassicales; Brassicaceae.
CUAAAGAGCGUGUUGAAUCCC